Molecule: ribosomal RNA, 253 nt
Filed under: uncultured bacterium
Lineage: Bacteria
Description: partial 16S ribosomal RNA
Rfam family: Bacterial small subunit ribosomal RNA
Source: RNAcentral
UACAGAGGGAGCGAGCGUUCAUCGGAAUUACUGGGCGUAAAGCGCACGUAGGUGGCGACGUAAGUCGGGUGUGAAAGCCCCUGGCUCAACCUGGGAGGUGCAUUCGAGACUGCAUUGCUGGAGUACGGAAGAGGGGGGCGGAAUUCCCGGUGUAGCGGUGAAAUGCGUAGAUAUCGGGAGGAACAUCGGUGGCGAAGACGGCCCUCUGGUCCAGUACUGACACUCAAGUUCGAAAGCGUGGGGAGCGAACAGG